GGCUAGUCCAAGUGCAGUGGUGUUUAUAACUAAUUGAUCACAACCAGUUUCAGAUUUCUUUGUUUCUUCUUCACUCCCACUGUUUCACUUGACUAGUCUUUU
RNAcentral lists this Y RNA (102 nucleotides) under Prolemur simus (greater bamboo lemur). RNAcentral's name for it is "Y RNA (ENSPSMG00000006724.1)". It matches the Rfam family "Y RNA". From Rfam's summary of the family: Y RNAs are components of the Ro ribonucleoprotein particle (Ro RNP), in association with Ro60 and La proteins. The Y RNAs and Ro60 and La proteins are well conserved, but the function of the Ro RNP is not known. The record is from Rfam by way of RNAcentral. Lineage: Eukaryota; Metazoa; Chordata; Mammalia; Primates; Lemuridae.